This 430-nucleotide ribosomal RNA is filed under the name Pseudomonadota bacterium. Its description in RNAcentral is "Proteobacteria bacterium partial 16S ribosomal RNA". It matches the Rfam family "Bacterial small subunit ribosomal RNA", at positions 355 to 776 of the family's 1533-position model. The record is from RNAcentral. Lineage: Bacteria; Pseudomonadati; Pseudomonadota.
UGGGGAAUAUUGGACAAUGGGGGGAACCCUGAUCCAGCCAUGCCGCGUGUGUGAAGAAGGCCUUAUGGUUGUAAAGCACUUUAAGCGAGGAGGAGGGUACUGGUAUUAAUACUACCAGGUACUGGACGUUACUCGCAGAAUAAGCACCGGCUAACUCUGUGCCAGCAGCCGCGGUAAUACAGAGGGUGCGAGCGUUAAUCGGAUUUACUGGGCGUAAAGCGUGCGUAGGCGGCUAAUUGAGUCGGAUGUGAAAUCCCCGAGCUUAACUUGGGAAUGGCAUUCGAUACUGGUUAGCUAGAGUGUGGGAGAGGAUGGUAGAAUUCCAGGUGUAGCGGUGAAAUGCGUAGAGAUCUGGAGGAAUACCGAUGGCGAAGGCAGCCAUCUGGCCUAACACUGACGCUGAGGUACGAAAGCAUGGGGAGCAAACAGG